RNAcentral lists this unclassified non-coding RNA (351 nucleotides) under soil metagenome. RNAcentral's name for it is "partial contains 5.8S ribosomal RNA, internal transcribed spacer 2, and large subunit ribosomal RNA". The stretch from base 1 to 121 matches the Rfam family "5.8S ribosomal RNA", at positions 35 to 154 of the family's 154-position model. The record is from RNAcentral.
GAUGAAGAACGCAGCGAAAUGCGAUAAGUAAUGUGAAUUGCAGAUUUCCAGUGAAUCAUCGAAUCUUUGAACGCACAUUGCGCCCGCCAGUAUUCUGGCGGGCAUGCCUGUUCGAGCGUCAUUUCAACCCUCAAGCCCAGCUUGGUGUUGGGGAUCGGCACAGGCGCCCUCGGGCGCCCGCCGUCCCCUAAAUCUAGUGGCGGUCCCGCUGCAGCCUCCUCUGCGUAGUAGUUUUCUCCUCGCAAGGGCAGCUCGGUGGCGACCUCGCCGUAAAACCCCCAACUUCUGAAAGGUUGACCUCGAAUCAGGUAGGAAUACCCGCUGAACUUAAGCAUAUCAAUAAGCGGAGGA